RNAcentral lists this ribosomal RNA (504 nucleotides) under uncultured bacterium. RNAcentral describes it as "partial 16S ribosomal RNA". It matches the Rfam family "Bacterial small subunit ribosomal RNA", at positions 29 to 507 of the family's 1533-position model. The record is from RNAcentral.
ACGAACGCUGGCGGCGUGCCUAAUACAUGCAAGUGGGACGCAAGGAAACACACUGUGCUUGCACCCCGUGUUUUCUUGAGUCGCGAACGGGUGAGUAACGCGUAGGUAACCUGCCUAUUAGCGGGGGAUAACUAUUGGAAACGAUAGCUAAUACCGCAUAAUAUUAAUUAUUGCAUGAUAAUUGAUUGAAAGAUGCAAGCGCAUCACUAGUAGAUGGACCUGCGUUGUAUUAGCUAGUUGGUAAGGUAAGAGCUUACCAAGGCGACGAUACAUAGCCGACCUGAGAGGGUGAUCGGCCACACUGGGACUGAGACACGGCCCAGACUCCUACGGGAGGCAGCAGUAGGGAAUCUUCGGCAAUAGACGAAAGUCUGACCGAGCAACGCCGCGUGAGUGAAGAAGGUUUUCGGAUCGUAAAGCUCUGUUGUAAGUCAAGAACGUGUGUGAGAGUGGAAAGUUCACACAGUGACGGUAGCUUACCAGAAAGGGACGGCUAACUACGUG